RNAcentral lists this ribosomal RNA (376 nucleotides) under uncultured bacterium. RNAcentral's name for it is "bacterial SSU rRNA". It matches the Rfam family "Bacterial small subunit ribosomal RNA", at positions 524 to 898 of the family's 1533-position model. The record is from RNAcentral.
AACGUAGGAGGCGAGCGUUAUCCGGAUUUACUGGGCGUAAAGGGCAAGUAGGCGGCAGCAAAAGUUGGGCGUGACAGCUCCCGGCUUAACUGGGAGAGGUCGUCCAAAACUAGGCAGCUAGAGGGCAGGAGAGGGAAGUAGAAUUCCUAGUGUAGCGGUGGAAUGCUCAGAUACUAGGAGGAAUACCAGUGGCGAAGGCGACUUCCUGGCCUGUACCUGACGCUGAGAGGCGAAAGCUAGGGUAGCGAACGGGCUUAGAUACCCCGGUAGUCCUAGCUGUAAACGGUGGAUACUGGGUAUUGGGGGUGAAAAAUCUCUCAGUGCCGAAGCCAACGCGUUAAGUAUCCCGCCUGGGGACUACGACCGCAAGGUUAAA